RNAcentral lists this ribosomal RNA (480 nucleotides) under uncultured bacterium. RNAcentral's name for it is "bacterial SSU rRNA". It matches the Rfam family "Bacterial small subunit ribosomal RNA", at positions 28 to 518 of the family's 1533-position model. The record is from RNAcentral.
GAUGAACGCUGGCGGCGUGCUUAACACAUGCAAGUCGAACGAAGAUGCCGGAGUGCUUGCACUUUGGCAGACUGAGUGGCGGACGGGUGAGUAACGCGUGGGUAACCUGCCUUAUACAGGGGGAUAACAGUUGGAAACGACUGCUAAUACCGCAUAAGCGCACGGUAUCGCAUGAUACAGUGUGAAAAACUCCGGUGGUAUAAGAUGGACCCGCGUCUGAUUAGCUUGUUGGUGAGGUAACGGCCCACCAAGGCGACGAUCAGUAGCCGGCCUGAGAGGGUGAACGGCCACAUUGGGACUGAGACACGGCCCAAACUCCUACGGGAGGCAGCAGUGGGGAAUAUUGCACAAUGGGGGAAACCCUGAUGCAGCGACGCCGCGUGAGUGAUGAAGUAUUUCGGUAUGUAAAACUCUAUCAGCAGGGAAGAUAAUGACGGUACCUGACUAAGAAGCACCGGCUAAAUACGUGCCAGCAGCCGC